GAGCAGAAAGAGGUUACAUCGGCCGGGGCUGCUUCAUUGUAGGUGAUGCUGCAGGACAAACUCAGUUUAUGCAUGGCCCAGAGCAAACACUUAACAAAAUUACGCUGGUCUCAUGCAUAUUUUUU
Pelodiscus sinensis (Chinese soft-shelled turtle) is the source of this 125-nucleotide non-coding RNA. NCBI's taxonomy places the organism in Eukaryota, Metazoa, Chordata, Testudines, Trionychidae. The record is from RefSeq and is a predicted model, not a curated record.